CAUCACUCUGUUUCUUUAUUGGAAAUCCGAACACCCCAGCCGCCUUCGCAAGUCUCUCCAACCACUCCUACCAGCACCCCGCGGCCCACGCGGUCUUGGCUCUCACCCACGCCUGCCCGAGGGCGGCCCCCGGCCUAGGCUCCAGGCAACGCUCAGGCCUAGGCACCCCAUUCUGCACCCCACACUGCCCAGAGGACCGGCACAGAGCAGAUCCUGGGCCUCAGGUUGUGAUGAAUUUCCAGCUUUGGGGCAAAAACAGGCAUCCUCUGUUCUCUGUCAUACAUGUGGUGGCUGCCCCUGGGAGUCUGAUCAGGUCUGAAGGCCAGCGUCUUUGAUCUCCUGGAGGUAGAGGUUCUUCAGCUUAGGAAGAUUGAUUCCCAGGGUGCUUUCCAGCUGGUUCCCCCGAAGCUCCACUGUGUGCAGGCUGAUCAACUUCUCGGGGUCCAGAC
RNAcentral lists this long non-coding RNA (449 nucleotides) under Homo sapiens (human). RNAcentral's name for it is "long non-coding RNA NONHSAT163248". Lineage: Eukaryota; Metazoa; Chordata; Mammalia; Primates; Hominidae. The record is from RNAcentral.